CUACGGAUGAUUCCGACAACAAAAGUAGGCGAGUUAUACACCAUUGUUAAGAUAAAUCAAUUUAGAUUUACGACAUAACAAGUUUUAGUGGGGUUGACAGCCGAGAAAUCGGCAUUUAACGGAAUUUCGUCACCGCCUGGUAUUUUUCUAAUUCGCGAGUUAAGUACCUUGUGUUAUAUAAAGGUAUAUAGGGGGAAAAACGAGACGAGCGCCUGUGGUUAAGCACCACAUGUAGCUCAAGCGUACGGAAAUAUUGUGUAACGCGUUACUCUAUGAUAUGGGAACUGACUUUUACACGUUGCUCUAGUGUAUGCAUACUAAAAAGUGAAAAUAAAGAUACUCAACUUCAAGGAAAAUUAAAAACGGAAAUUUCUUUACCAAAAGAAAAAACCAAAAGCCCAAACACAUAAAUGAAUUGAAAACAACUGACAUAUUGCUGACUCGGUACAUACAUUUAUUUAUGUUUAAAAUGGUGGAUAAGGCCUGUUUUUAUAUCUACCUCUCACUUGUAUGACAGUCGCAUAAAAUUUCAAUAUAUUGAAAACAAUGUGCGAGAAAAAAAAACAGACAUAAUAGGGAAAAUGUCAAAAAUAAGGGUACAGCAACGUUAUAUUCCUAAUAACUAUAUCGAAUCAGUUGGGAAAUGUAUAUCCCAUAUAUAGGCG
This 665-nucleotide long non-coding RNA is filed under the name Mytilus galloprovincialis (Mediterranean mussel). The record is from RNAcentral. Lineage: Eukaryota; Metazoa; Mollusca; Bivalvia; Mytilida; Mytilidae.